This 495-nucleotide ribosomal RNA is filed under the name uncultured bacterium. Its description in RNAcentral is "partial 16S ribosomal RNA". It matches the Rfam family "Bacterial small subunit ribosomal RNA", at positions 28 to 505 of the family's 1533-position model. The record is from RNAcentral.
GACGAACGCUGGCGGCGUGCCUAAUACAUGCAAGUUGAGCGCUGAAGGUUUGUACUUGUGCCGACUGGGUGAGCAGCGCACGGGUGAGUAACGCGUGUGGAAUCUGCCUUUGAUCGGGGUACAACAUUUGGAAACGAAUGCUAAUACGGCAUAAAAACUUUAAACACAAGUUUUAAGUGUGAAAUAUGCAAUUGCGUCACUCAAAGAUGAUCCCUCGUUGUAUUAGCUAGUUGGUGAGGUACAAGCUCAUCAAGGCGUUGAUACAUAGCCGAGCUGAGAGGGUGAUCGGCGACAUAGAGAGUGAGAGACGGCACAAACACCUAGGUGAGGCAGCAGCAGGGACUCUUGGGAGAUGGACGAAAGUCUGAACGAGCAACGCCGCGUGAGUGAAGCAGCGUUGCGGAUCGUAAAACGCUGUUCGGAGUGAAGAACGUUGGUGCCAGUGGAAAGCCCAGAAAGAGACGGAAACGUAAAAGAACGGGACGGAAAAAUAUG